Molecule: long non-coding RNA, 2432 nt
Filed under: Homo sapiens (human)
Lineage: Eukaryota; Metazoa; Chordata; Mammalia; Primates; Hominidae
Description: non-protein coding lnc-GGCT-1:77
Source: RNAcentral
AGACGGAGUCCCGCUCUGUCACGCAGGCUGCCAGGCUGGCGUACAGUGGCGCAAUCUCAGCUCGCUGCAACCUCCACCUCCUGGGUUCAAGCGAUUUUCUUGCCUCUGCCUCCUGAGUAGCUGGGAUUACUGGCACACACCACCAUGCACAGGGUCCAGCCUGCAAUAACUGAAGCCCCCAGACCUGGAACCUGAAGAUCCCAUCAGCCACUAAACCUGUGAACCUGUAGAAGACCUGAAGUACCUGUUUAAAAGGCAGCCAAAAGAUAAGUAAAUUCCUAUCAACUUUCCUUGGUGUCCUUCUUGUAUAUUUACUGUAAGCUGGAUAUAAUAGUAGCCAUUUUUAUAUUUUUACAAUUUAAUUGCUUUCUUCCAAAUGGAUUGAAUCACUUCUUUUAAAGUGUUUUAAUUAAUUUUUAUCUAUAGAACAAAAUAACAAAUAAGUAUUUUUUUUUUAUACCAUAAUGGUCACCCACAGCCUGUGUAUACUAAGACCAUGCAUACUGAUAAUCAGCUUUAUUUUACAAAAGAGUUUCGCUUUACCCCUCUGGUAAUUAAUGGAUUCUGGGUAUUUAUUAAAAACUUUAACACAAAGACUGUUAAAUACCACCAGUCCAGCUUUGGCAAGGCACUGUUGGCUUUGUUUAUCUCCAUCAUCAUCCAAACAGACUACCAAUCCUGAUCCCAGCCCAAUCUUGGGCCCUUGAAAAAAUAACUUAACAUCCUAACUACAAGGGAGAAACUCCUUUCAAAUUAAUGAACCUGGCUGACUUAUAUAGCCUUAAAAUUAUGGAAAUGACAAGGGUUACAAUGUCAGAAUGAGCAGUAAACCUUCCCCAGUCCUAUCAGAGCAAACUUUCUGGGGUUGCAUCCCCUCAGAAACCCAUUUGGGGCCCAAUCUCAAUGCACAUAUCAGUGCGCAAAGCACUAAAAUUCCAGGCAACACUUUGUAUUGAGAGAAGCCAAAAUUUUGGUCCCGCCCUGGGACAUCUAAAGUCACCAAUGUAACUACACCAUACAGAUUAAACCCUCACAUGAUCAUGUAAGCUAUGCAGUUACCCAAGCUGCAUCAUUUAGAAAACCUGUACAGUUUUUAUGGAAACCAUCCCUAGUCAAGGACACUUUAAAUAUAUAGUCUAAAUACCGUUAAGGUAGGCCCACUAGCUGUGUUCACAUUUUCCCUUGGCCACCUUACCAGGGACUUUAAUAACUUGGGAAAGUGAAAACAACAAGCUAACCCACAUGUUCACCAUAGAAAACAAUUUUGUCUUGAAAAACAAGGACUCUUUUUCCCGUGUGGGACCAGUUCCUACUUAUGUUUUACCAGCCAAUUGGACUGGAACCUAUACAGUUGUUUAUUUAGCCCCCGAAAUUAAUAUAGCUCCCAACAACCAAUCCUUCAUUAUACUUUUAACUGCAACCACCAGACACAAAUGAGCCAUCCAACUGAUACCACUUUCGGUAGAGCUAGGAAUAACAGCAGGAGUAGGAAUGAGAGUUAGCAGCCUUGCAGUUUCCCUAUCCUAUUACCAAUGCUUGUCCAAGGAUUUUAUGGAAAGCUUAGGUGACAUUGCCCAAAAGUAUCAUCACCUUACAAAAUCAGAUAGAGUCUUUGGCAGUGGUGGCUUUGUAAAAUAGAAGGGGACUGGAUCUCCUAAAUGCUGAAGAAGGUGGCUUAUGUCUUUUUCCUAGAGGAAGAAUGCUGUUUUUAUGUCAACCAAACAGGAUUAGUAAGGGAUGCCACCCAAAAACUAGCCGAUUGGUACCAUAAGAUAUGACAACAGCUGUCUGAGUCAUGGGGCGCCUAGUCAAAAUGCUAAUUUGGGGCUCACAUCUCCUUCCUCUGGCCAGUCCACUAUUAAUUAUUAUACUUGCCUUGGCUUUUGGAUCAUGUUUGUUAAAUCUUUUAACCAGAUUUAUUUCUUCUUGCCUAGAGACCAUUAUGAUAAUGCAGCAGGGCCACCAGUCAGUUUCAGAUAAUGAUGUCAACCCCGGCCACCAAGAAGUAACCUUGUCUCCACUAGACAGAGCAGGUUGCAGGAAUUUAGCCAAUUCAGAGGUCUUGUUCUCCAUAAUUUGGAAUUUUCCUUCGGAUUUGAUCAAGUUGGAUAGAGUUGGUCAAACCCAAUGGGAAAAAGAUGAAAACAACAAGAAACAGAAACAAACAGCAACAACAACAACAACAAAAACAAUGCAUUUAAUUAAAUGAAGAUGAGCUCAUGCUGGAGUAGGGUGGACUCUGAACCCAGUGGGACAAGCGUCCUUAUUAAGAAGAGGGAAAUCUGGACACACACAGAGCAGAGACCGCCGUGUGAAGAUGGAGGCAGAGAUCGGAGAGAUGCUGCCACACGCCACAAAUGCCUGGGGCUCCCAGAAACUACACGGAGCCUCCCCCAGCGGCUUCAGCAGGAGCAUGGCUCGGCCAACACUUU